RNAcentral lists this ribosomal RNA (511 nucleotides) under uncultured Bordetella sp. RNAcentral describes it as "bacterial SSU rRNA". It matches the Rfam family "Bacterial small subunit ribosomal RNA", at positions 505 to 1019 of the family's 1533-position model. Lineage: Bacteria; Pseudomonadati; Pseudomonadota; Betaproteobacteria; Burkholderiales; Alcaligenaceae. The record is from RNAcentral.
GUGCCAGCAGCUGCGGUAAUACGUAGGGUGCAAGCGUUAAUCGGAAUUACUGGGCGUAAAGCGUGCGCAGGCGGUUCGGAAAGAAAGAUGUGAAAUCCCAGGGCUUAACCUUGGAACUGCAUUUUUAACUACCGGGCUAGAGUGUGUCAGAGGGAGGUGGAAUUCCGCGUGUAGCAGUGAAAUGCGUAGAUAUGCGGAGGAACACCGAUGGCGAAGGCAGCCUCCUGGGAUAACACUGACGCUCAUGCACGAAAGCGUGGGGAGCAAACAGGAUUAGAUACCCUGGUAGUCCACGCCCUAAACGAUGUCAACUAGCUGUUGGGCCUUCGGGCCUUGGUAGCGCAGCUAACGCGUGAAGUUGACCACCUGGGGAGUACGGUCGCAAGAUUAAAACUCAAAGGAAUUGACGGGACCCGCACAAGCGGUGGAUGAUGUGGAUUAAUUCGAUGCAACGCGAAAACCUUACCUACCCUUGACAUGUCUGGAAUGCCGAAGAGAUUUGGCAGUGCUC